Molecule: long non-coding RNA, 1209 nt
Organism: Asparagus officinalis (garden asparagus)
Lineage: Eukaryota; Viridiplantae; Streptophyta; Magnoliopsida; Asparagales; Asparagaceae
Exons: 3
Source: RefSeq, a predicted model, not a curated record
CCAACGAUCCAUUACUUUAUCUCUCUAAGUUUAUGUAAUUUUUCUUUUAAUUAUCAUGAAAUUGAUCUCAAAAUUCGGAUCUCAGUUCCAUGAGAGAGAGUUCACUAAUCUUUGUUAUUAAUUGCAUGUCUAUAUUUUUUAAAAAACAGAUCCCUUCCUCACCUAGCGAAACGAUAAUCAACCAGUCAUCAUCAAUUUUCCAAAUGCUUGAUUGAAGUUCCAGAAUGCACCCUAGCCUCUACCAACACAACAAAUACCCUCGAUUUCUUCAACAUCAUGAAAACCUUCAUCAUCCUCUUCUACUCUUGGAUCUCCUUCAGAUAGACCCUCCUCAUCCUGGGCUAUGUUGUCACCAACACCUAACAGUAUGUAAGAUAAAAUGUAAGAAAACUAAUUUUGUUAUCAUCACUUCAUUUUUAGACCUUUUUCUUCUUUUUUUACCCUUUCUUUCUUACAAUUAAAGCAAUGAAUUUGUUUCUAAAACUCAGAUCAAGGUCACUCAAUUAUCUUAUUAACAUUUGUAACUAAUUUUAAAUUUAUGGCAUUGUUUUUCACUCUCAACUAUUUCAUAGGUCAUGACAAUCUCAAGUUCUUUCUUUGUAUUGCACACGAUGCUAAGGAUGGUGGAUGAAUUCCUUUAAAUGGAUAUACAUGUUGUGCACUCCACUUGUUUGAUGAAAUGCCAAUAUGUGACUUAUUGGCCUAUAAUAUUGGAUUAUCUCCUCAAGUUUUAAUAUUAAGAGUUGAUACUUAUCUAUUAUAUAAUUAACACCUUAAUUGUUACAUGCAAAAUCCUUUACUUGAUAUCAUGCAAAAGGACAAAAAUUUUGGUCGUGGAGAAACAUGGGAUUCUCAACAACAAAGUUAUCAAUUCUAUUAACGCAAGCGGAUUCCAAGAUGAUAAUGGUAUGUGAUUCCUUUCUGUCAUGAGAUCACAGCCUUUCUAAAACUAAUCUAUAGUGGCAUGAUAUGGAUGGAGGCUGCAAGGUGAUAGAUGGUGAAGGAGAGAUUAGUUUGGUGCGAUGUAGUGAGAAGAAGAAGCCAGAGACAUGAUGAAGGAAAGACUUGCAACAUUGAUAAGAUAUGGGCUCACUGUGGUCUUUAUUGUUCAAGUAUUCUUAAUCAUAGUUUAUUUCUUUUCUGCUGUAGGUCUUUUGGGUAAGUUUUGAUUUAUUAGAUUAUAUUCAUGAUAUACAUGUGAACAUAUGC